GCGGGGGUUGCCAAGCGGUCAAAGGCGCAGGGCUUAGGACCCUGUCUCGAAGGAGUUCGCGAGUUCGAUUCUCGUCCCCCGCA
Molecule: transfer RNA, 83 nt
Filed under: Methanocella sp. PtaU1.Bin125
Lineage: Archaea; Methanobacteriati; Methanobacteriota; Methanomicrobia; Methanocellales; Methanocellaceae
Also listed under: 1 other name
Description: tRNA-Leu
Rfam family: tRNA
About the family: Transfer RNA (tRNA) molecules are approximately 80 nucleotides in length. Their secondary structure includes four short double-helical elements and three loops (D, anti-codon, and T loops). Further hydrogen bonds mediate the characteristic L-shaped molecular structure. tRNAs have two regions of fundamental functional importance: the anti-codon, which is responsible for specific mRNA codon recognition, and the 3' end, to which the tRNAs corresponding amino acid is attached (by aminoacyl-tRNA synthetases). tRNAs cope with the degeneracy of the genetic code in two manners: having more than one tRNA (with a specific anti-codon) for a particular amino acid; and 'wobble' base-pairing, i.e. permitting non-standard base-pairing at the 3rd anti-codon position.
Source: RNAcentral